This is a long non-coding RNA of Micropterus dolomieu (smallmouth bass), 2230 nucleotides long. RefSeq lists it as uncharacterized. The transcript is spliced from 2 exons. NCBI's taxonomy places the organism in Eukaryota, Metazoa, Chordata, Actinopteri, Centrarchiformes, Centrarchidae. The record is from RefSeq and is a predicted model, not a curated record.
ACAGCACGUUCUGCAUGUUAAGCUCAUUUUCACAGUCUUAUCUGUGCCACGCCUCUGACCUUCACCUCAGUAAAUACAAAGGAGGGGCUCACCUCAGUGUGACAUCAUUGCAAUGCAGUAAUCUACAGCACAUGUGGGUGUGAAAAUCAACUGAUGGGGAAAUUUGGGGGGGAUCUUUUAGAUUCACCUUUUUUGCAACUCGUAUCGAGGUUUAGCAUCACAUUGACAGAUGAUCUGCUUGAUUUACAGGGCCGCCCCAUUGUAAUCUGUGACAAAGAUGAUUACGAGACCAUCAAGAACUCCAGCCGCACCAUCAAAGUGCCUCACUGUGUAGACUGCCUGCAGGGCAUCCUGAGCGUCAUCCCACUGCAGCUGCUGUCCUUCCACCUGGCGGUCCUCCGAGGCUAUGACGUUGACUGUCCAAGAAACCUGGCCAAGUCUGUGACAGUAGAGUGAGCGACACCACCACAUUCAUCACCUAACAACAAAAGCCUGGCGGACACGUAUUCAAACACACAUGGAUGCGGCGAGGGAGCGUCUGUAUGCAGAAACCAAGAGAAAACUGUCUCGUUUGUGUCUUGUGUCAUGGCUGUUUUUUAAUGCAAUCUUUCACUCAACCGUUGUUUAUCUCACUGUUGUAUAUCAUCUGUAUAUCACCGUUUUAUUUUCUUUGGUGUUGGAGUUGUGGUGUUUGUGGUGGCAGGUCUGGGCUAGCACUGACUCUUUAUCUCCAUUACUCUCUGGGUUUGUGAAGCCGUAGCAACGGACAGUGACCAUUAGCGUUUAUUCACUUUCACGCUCAAAACCCUCCAUGUUUAUUUGCGCUGAUUAGUCUCACUGGGAGCAUCUUGAAGCAGUAGACUGACAGAAGUUAGGUUUUAAAGACCGUACUGGCUUUUUUUCUUCUCUACUGCAAUGAUUUGUAGUUGGGAUAUUUUUCUUUUUGGCAGCUAAUCAUCUGAAGCAUCUUCACUCCACAGUUGAAGUAAGCGACAGUCUUAAAUCAUUCCAAGCCGCAGGUCACCACUUCAUAAUUGCAGCGUUUCUCUCUUGGACUUUAGUCUGAGGACGCAUAACUUCUAGCAGAAGCAGCAUCACAAAUCCGAUCACAGAAAAGUGUGUGAAUACACUGUCUAAAAUGUUCUUGGGUAGGUUGCAAAAGUUUGUUCUUGUCUUAAACCUUAGUGUUUCGGACUUCAGACCCUUGUCUCGGUCGGCGAGAAUAAGCCUCAUUUACUGGGCCAGUGUGACCUUUUGUUGCCAUAAACAGUUUCUGCAUUUAUUCUUCUCUGAACAUUAUACUCUAAAGCUAUUUGUGCACAAUUUAGUGUUUGAUUCUUAUUUUCAACUCUGUUGCCUCACUGUUCAAAAGAGACUUAAGUGCUUAUAACAGGUCUCUGCUUUACAUUUACAUUUAAACUGAAAGCUGAAGUAAAUCAAGCAAGAUGAAGUUACUAACCUUAAGUAGAAGUUGCACCCAGUUAGCAGCCCAUGGCCUUCCACCAUGACAUAGCUGCAAUACUGGGACCAUUUGAUGCAUUUUUUUUUUUUUUUUUUUGUCACGUUUCAUUUUCUUAAAGUUUAUUAUCGAAGUUACUCUUUGAUUUGAAAUGUGAAUGUUACAGUCUCUUGAAAUGUCCUUUCAAACCAAAAAUCUUAUUGGGUUUGGCAGUUGUAAACCAAAAUGUAGACAUUUUAUAUGUUCAUCCUAUAUUGUUUUUGUAUCUAAACAUACUGAUGCUGGUAGAUGCUUCAAGGCCUUAAAUGGGGCAUAUAGGGGGUUUUAUGGCAGUAUGUCAGACUGUAGAUGUUUUAGAUAGAAAGCCUGUGUGUGUGUGUGUGUGUGUGUGUGUGUGUGUGUGUGAGAAUCCAAAGGUCUUUGUUUGGAAGGCCAAGUAAAGAGCGAUGUUGUGUAGUGAAGAAUCAGGAGCUGCUUUUUGUCCCAUCACAUGUUAGGUUUAUUAAUUUUGCUUUUGCAAUCAAGCCUUAACUUUUCUUUUUCUUCCCCCUCCAACAUUGAGCUUCUCGAGCCAGUGAAAGGGUUUGAAAACUGGAUAAUAUUACAGAUACUUUCGUAACCCACAUACAUGAGAAAAUUCAGAUUUCUUGACUGGAGGCAUUGACAAAGGAUGCUGCACUGAAUCCUAGCAACAUCUGUUGGUUACUGAGGGUGUGGGGCACUAUUUAUUAGUGGAACUGAUGCAAUAAAGUGUCAAGUACUUCCCUUAAA